This 72-nucleotide transfer RNA is filed under the name Capra hircus (goat). It matches the Rfam family "tRNA". Rfam says of the family: Transfer RNA (tRNA) molecules are approximately 80 nucleotides in length. Their secondary structure includes four short double-helical elements and three loops (D, anti-codon, and T loops). RNAcentral also lists the same sequence under 1 other name. The record is from Rfam by way of RNAcentral. Lineage: Eukaryota; Metazoa; Chordata; Mammalia; Artiodactyla; Bovidae.
UCCCUGAUAGCUCAGUUGGUAAAGAAUCUGCCUGCAAUGCAGGAGACCUAGGUUUGAUCCCUGGGUCGGGAA